This is a long non-coding RNA of Phascolarctos cinereus (koala), 2760 nucleotides long. RefSeq lists it as uncharacterized. Lineage: Eukaryota; Metazoa; Chordata; Mammalia; Diprotodontia; Phascolarctidae. The record is from RefSeq and is a predicted model, not a curated record.
UCAAAGGGAAAUGGUUAUUAGGGGACUUUCGAUGCCAAAGAGGGAAAUUUUAAAUCUGCACUGCUUAGUGUCUGAGUCUGUAUUUUUUAUCCUUUUCUCCCAGAUCUUGUUUGGAACUGUUACAAUGAUCAUAUAACUAUAGCUCUUUGGACCCUUGAAGUCUUCAAUACAAAAGUCCUUUUCCUUUUUUCACUCAUGUUCUUUUCUCAGUUUCAGUGAUUAAGGAAAGCUACUAUAGAAGAGGCAGCAGGAGGAGUGUCAAGAGCCCUGGACUUGGAGUUGGAACCCCCGAGUUCUCGUCCCAGACCUCAGUCAAAUCACUUCCCCUCUCUGGGGCUCAGCUGCCUUCACUGUAAAAGGAAGGAGGUAGAGAGGCAGCAUGUCUUAGCGCAUGGAGAGCUGGCCUCAGAAUCAGGGGAAUCUGGAUUGCUUCAAGCAAAGUGCUUAAAGCCUUCAAGGUCUUCAGUUCUCCAAUGAGUUGGGAUUUCAUUGACAUGGGUACACCUUCCAGCCAUGCCAAUCACAAGCCAUCCAGCCCUACUCAUCCUGUGGGACAUCUUUUCUACAGAGGAUCUGCCCUGUGUCGUGUGACCUUUGCAUUCUCUUCACAUUUCAAGGAUAACAAUGGAGCAACACAUGGGUUGUCCACCUGCGUUCUCACUCUUGCAUGUGACCAGCAAAUUUUCUAUUUUGAACAGUAUUUGUAUACUUCGACAACAUCCUUUAUGCCACUUUUUCCAAACAUAAUUACAAUAUAUUUGCAAUAUGAUGCAGCCUGCUCAUGUACAUGUGUGCCUAUCCAUUACCCACUGGUAAUGCUCAACUUCUUCAGACACCAUGGUGUUCCAUGACUCAACCACCACCAGAAGAACAUUGAUUUUCAAAAACACUUUGCUAAGAUCUUUUAAUGACCCCAAGUUUCUCCCUGAAACAAUUUCCCAAAGGCUAUCCAGCCUGCUCCCUUCCUUUCAAAUUCUGAUCACAACUACUCACUGUCUGAAGUCCAAGAAUUUAUAUGUGUGUGUGUGUGUGUGUGUGUGUAUAUAUAUGCAUAUAUACAUGUAUUAUGACAUAUACUUGUGUGUGCUUGAUAUAUCUAUCAAUAUAUACAUACUCUCACACACACAUAGAGAGAAGCUAUUUAGAUUAUGUAUCCAAUUGCAUGUUAUAGUCUGGAUAAUAUGCAUUCUUCAUUUACUUUGUUUUCCCUGUACAAGAUAGUCAGCGUUGAAUUUCUUAAAGUAGCUGAUUGUGGACUUCAUUUAGGAAGUUCUGCAAUAUUUGAUGGCUUGAUACCAUGCCACACAAGCAGGAACAGCUGGAGGACUUCACCACCCACUGGGAAUCCUUCUUCAACUUGGAUUCUGUGAUGGAUCUUCUUCAUGACAAUGGUGAACACAUCUGGCCAUGCCCAUAGUCUAUGAUCAGGAAAUGGACUCUCUCAUCUGGCCAACAAGCACCUUUGAUGAGAAGUGGUGAUUACCAGCUGCUCAGUUUUGAGAAGCAUGUAAGGUACUGCCAGUUUAGAGAUUUGGCUCUUGGUGAAAAUCCCAAUACAAAGUGAGACAUGCUUCAUGAAAACUUCAAUAAUAGGAAGCAAUCUCCAAAGAGAGAAACUGAAGAUCUGGUCUCAGACAGUUACAAAAAUAAAAGAAAAUUCUGGAACUAUUUUCUCUUUAUUUCCUUAAAAAAAAAAAGAUACUUUCCAGUGAAAUAAUUUCUUGUCCCAUUUGGUUAAGAUCAAGACCAUGACUGAAAGAGUUAAGAUAAUCACCCUUACAGGGAAGUGUUAUUUGAUAUUUUGGGCCAAAGAGCUUUUUUCUGUUACUUCCCCUUCACACACACACACACACACACACACACACACACACGCUCUCUCUCUCUCUCUCUCUCUCUCUCUCUCUCUCUCUCUCUCUCUCUGUGUCUUUCUCUGUCUCUUUUUCUCUCUCUAAAUGUUUAGGUUAUAAACAUCUACCCAGUGACAUUCACAGGUCUAUUCUCUGAUACCAGCUUCCAUCCUUCAACCCCUCUCUUUUCUCUCCAAGUUUAGUGGGAAUACCUAAACCGAAAGAGUGGCAGUUUUCAGGAAAUCCUCUAGAAUUACUUCUACACACCUCAAUAACCAACAAUACAAUGCAUAUGGAUUCUAGCAGGAAGAAGAUUUUCAUUUCUGACUUACUUUUUUUUUGUUUUAAGCAGCAAGUAUCUCAAAGACAAAAAAAAGCCUCUUUAAGUAUAGAAAUCUCUAUGCAUGACUAUACAUAUGAACUCAAAUUUGAAAACCAAUGUUUGAAACUAGUUUAGCCAAUUCAUCCAGGUAGCUACAUUUGAUGCUCCCAAAAAGCAAGCAGCAUGCAAAGUUGAGUUAGUUUUAAAGUCAAAAUAACUGGUGAAGCACCAGAAUUACGAUCUGAACAUAGGUUGCACUCAUAUUUACAUUCAAAGAAGCCCCACAAAUUAACAUGCAAGCACAAGACAAAAACUCAUCACAAUAAUACUUUCACUCAUAUUACCACCAUUAAAAACAUGUUGUGGAUUUAAACACAAAUUUUCAAGAACACAUUUGAAAUGCAUCAAGAAAAUUAAAUCUAUAAAUAUAGAUUUUUAAGCUUAUCGUCAUGGGUAAGUAUUGCUUCUAGUAACGUCGUUAUUUCUUAAGUCAUAAAGAGAAAUUCAACAAUAUAUUCAUUCAGAGAAGUGAAACACCCUCAGUAACAUUUAUAAGCGGAACUUAUUUAGGGUUUCACAGUAAAUGUGGAU